GCGGUCAUGGCGGAAUGGCAGACGCGCCAGCUUGAGGGGCUGGUGGGGGCAACCCCGUGGAGGUUCAAGUCCUCUUGGCCGCA
Molecule: transfer RNA, 83 nt
Filed under: Jeotgalibaca porci
Lineage: Bacteria; Bacillati; Bacillota; Bacilli; Lactobacillales; Carnobacteriaceae
Also listed under: 9 other names
Rfam family: tRNA
About the family: Transfer RNA (tRNA) molecules are approximately 80 nucleotides in length. Their secondary structure includes four short double-helical elements and three loops (D, anti-codon, and T loops). Further hydrogen bonds mediate the characteristic L-shaped molecular structure. tRNAs have two regions of fundamental functional importance: the anti-codon, which is responsible for specific mRNA codon recognition, and the 3' end, to which the tRNAs corresponding amino acid is attached (by aminoacyl-tRNA synthetases). tRNAs cope with the degeneracy of the genetic code in two manners: having more than one tRNA (with a specific anti-codon) for a particular amino acid; and 'wobble' base-pairing, i.e. permitting non-standard base-pairing at the 3rd anti-codon position.
Source: Rfam by way of RNAcentral